Molecule: ribosomal RNA, 1251 nt
Filed under: Halomonas elongata
Lineage: Bacteria; Pseudomonadati; Pseudomonadota; Gammaproteobacteria; Oceanospirillales; Halomonadaceae
Description: bacterial SSU rRNA
Rfam family: Bacterial small subunit ribosomal RNA
Source: RNAcentral
AGGCGUCGAGCGGCGGACGGGUGAGUAAUGCAUAGGAAUCUGCCCGGUAGUGGGGGAUAACUUGAGGAAACUCAAGCUAAUACCGCAUACGCCCUACGGGGGAAAGCAGGGGCUCUUCGGACCUUGCGCUAUCGGAUGAGCUUAUGUCGGAUUAGCUGGUUGGUGAGGUAACGGCUCACCAAGGCGACGAUCCGUAGCUUGGUCUGAGAGGAUGAUCAGCCACAUCGGGACUGAGACACGGCCCGAACUCCUACGGGAGGCAGCAGUGGGGAAUAUUGGACAAUGGGGGCAACCCUGAUCCAGCCAUGCCGCGUGUGUGAAGAAGGCCCUCGGGUUGUAAAGCACUUUCAGCGAGGAAGAAUGCUUGUCGGUUAAUACCCGGCAAGGGAGACAUCACUCGCAGAAGAAGCACCGGCUAACUCCGUGCCAGCAGCCGCGGUAAUACGGAGGGUGCGAGCGUUAAUCGGAAUUACUGGGCGUAAAGCGUGCGUAGGCGGCUUGAUAAGCCGGUUGUGAAAGCCCCGGGCUCAACCUGGGAACGGCAUCCGGAACUGUUAGGCUAGAGUGCAGGAGAGGAAGGUAGAAUUCCCGGUGUAGCGGUGAAAUGCGUAGAGAUCGGGAGGAAUACCAGUGGCGAAGGCGGCCUUCUGGACUGACACUGACGCUGAGGUACGAAAGCGUGGGUAGCAAACAGGAUUAGAUACCCUGGUAGUCCACGCCGUAAACGAUGUCGACUAGCCGUUGGGGUCCUCGAGACCUUUGUGGCGCAGUUAACGCACUAAGUCGACCGCCUGGGGAGUACGGCCGCAAGGUUAAAACUCAAAUGAAUUGACGGGGGCCCGCACAAGCGGUGGAGCAUGUGGUUUAAUUCGAUGCAACGCGAAGAACCUUACCUACCCUUGACAUCGUGCGAACUUUCCAGAGAUGGAUGGGUGCCUUCGGGAGCGCACAGACAGGUGCUGCAUGGCUGUCGUCAGCUCGUGUUGUGAAAUGUUGGGUUAAGUCCCGUAACGAGCGCAACCCUUGUCCCUAUUUGCCAGCGAUUCGGUCGGGAACUCUAGGGAGACUGCCGGUGACAAACCGGAGGAAGGUGGGGACGACGUCAAGUCAUCAUGGCCCUUACGGGUAGGGCUACACACGUGCUACAAUGGCCGGUACAAUGGGUUGCAAAGCGGCGACGUGGAGCUAAUCUCAUAAAGCCGGUCUCAGUCCGGAUCGGAGUCUGCAACUCGACUCCGUGAAGUCGGAAUC